UGGGGAAUAUUGCACAAUGGGCGCAAGCCUGAUGCAGCCAUGCCGCGUGUAUGAAGAAGGCCUUCGGGUUGUAAAGUACUUUCAGUCGGGAGGAAGGUGUCAAGGUUAAUAACCUUGGCAAUUGACGUUACCGACAGAAGAAGCACCGGCUAACUCCGUGCCAGCAGCCGCGGUAAUACGGAGGGUACAAGCGUUAAUCGGAAUUACUGGGCGUAAAGCGCACGCAGGCGGUUGAUUGAGUCAGAUGUGAAAUCCCCGGGCUUAACCCGGGAAUUGCAUCUGAUACUGGUCAGCUAGAGUCUUGUAGAGGGGGGUAGAAUUCCAUGUGUAGCGGUGAAAUGCGUAGAGAUGUGGAGGAAUACCGGUGGCGAAGGCGGCCCCCUGGACAAAGACUGACGCUCAGGUGCGAAAGCGUGGGGAGCAAACAGG
Molecule: ribosomal RNA, 429 nt
Filed under: Chloroflexota bacterium
Lineage: Bacteria; Bacillati; Chloroflexota
Description: Chloroflexi bacterium partial 16S ribosomal RNA
Rfam family: Bacterial small subunit ribosomal RNA
Source: RNAcentral